RNAcentral lists this ribosomal RNA (253 nucleotides) under uncultured bacterium. Its description in RNAcentral is "partial 16S ribosomal RNA". It matches the Rfam family "Bacterial small subunit ribosomal RNA", at positions 524 to 776 of the family's 1533-position model. The record is from RNAcentral.
UACGGGGGGGGCAAGCGUUGUUCGGAAUUACUGGGCGUAAAGGGCUCGUAGGCGGCCAACUAAGUCGGAUGUGAAAUCCCCAGGCUCAACCUGGGAACUGCAUCCGAUACUGGAUGGCUUGAAUUCGGGAGAGGGAUGCAGAAUUCCAGGUGUAGCGGUGAAAUGCGUAGAUAUCUGGAGGAAUACCGGUGGCGAAGGCGGGUCUCUGGACAGUUCCUGACGCUGAGGCACGAAGGUCAGGGGAGCAAACGGG